GUACCUUUUGCAUCAUGAAUUAGCCAGUAUAAAUCAAGCAAAGAGUACUUUAGUUUGAUACCCCGAAACUAAGUGAGCUACUUCAAGUCAGCCUAAUACAGGGCAAACCCGUCUCUGUGGCAAAAGAGUGGGAAGAACUUCAAGUAGCGGUGACAGACCUAUCGAACUUAGUUAUAGCUGGUUGCCUGGGAGACGGAUACAAGUUCAGCCUUUCGGCUUCUCCCCUCAAACAACAACAUUUUCCGACAAAGAGAAACCGUGAGAGUUAGUCAAAGGGGGUACAGCCCCUUUGACCAAAGAUACAACUUUUUCAGGCGGGUAAAGAUCAAAAUAUGUUUCAAGGUAAGAUGUUUUGGUGGGCCUAAAAGCAGCCAUCCCUACAGAAAGCGUUAAAGCUCAAACAUUAUACUUACACCUAUUAUUCUGAUAGUCCCAUCUUAACCCCCUAAUUUUACCAGGCCGUUCCAUACAAUCUAUGGAAGUGACCAUGCUAGUAUGAGUAAUAAGAAGGGCUCCGCCCUUCUCCCUGCACACAUGUAAGUCGGAACAGACCCCCUACCGAACCUUAACGGCCCCAAACCAAGAGGGAAUUGAACACCACACUAAAUUACAAGAAAACCCCCCAAAACCUAACCGUUACCCCYACACAGGUGUGCUUAUAAGGAAAGACUAAAAGAAAGAGAAGGAACUCGGCAAACAUAAUGCCUCGCCUGUUUACCAAAAACAUCGCCUCUUGCAAAAUUAAUGAAUAAGAGGUCCCGCCUGCCCUGUGACUAUAUGUUUAACGGCCGCGGUAUUUUGACCGUGCGAAGGUAGCGUAAUCACUUGUCUCUUAAAUGGAGACCUGUAUGAAUGGCAAAACGAGGGCUUAACUGUCUCCUCUCUCUGGUCAAUGAAAUUGAUCUCCCCGUGCAGAAGCGGGGAUAUACUCAUAAGACGAGAAGACCCUAUGGAGCUUUAGACACUAAGACAGAUCAUGUCAAACACCCACAAACAGGUGGUAGAACUUAAUGAUCCCCUGUCCUAAUGGCUU
RNAcentral lists this ribosomal RNA (1033 nucleotides) under Parapriacanthus elongatus. RNAcentral's name for it is "partial 16S ribosomal RNA". It matches the Rfam family "Bacterial large subunit ribosomal RNA", at positions 603 to 2186 of the family's 2925-position model. Lineage: Eukaryota; Metazoa; Chordata; Actinopteri; Acropomatiformes; Pempheridae. The record is from RNAcentral.